CCGGCGAUUUCCGAAUGGGGAAACCCAGUGUGUUUCGACACACUAUCAUUAACUGAAUCCAUAGGUUAAUGAGGCGAACCGGGGGAACUGAAACAUCUAAGUACCCCGAGGAAAAGAAAUCAACCGAGAUUCCCCCAGUAGCGGCGAGCGAACGGGGAGGAGCCCAGAGCCUGAAUCAGUGUGUGUGUUAGUGGAAGCGUCUGGAAAGGCGCGCGAUACAGGGUGACAGCCCCGUACACAAAAAUGCACAUACUGUGAGCUCGAUGAGUAGGGCGGGACACGUGGUAUCCUGUCUGAAUAUGGGGGGACCAUCCUCCAAGGCUAAAUACUCCUGACUGACCGAUAGUGAACCAGUACCGUGAGGGAAAGGCGAAAAGAACCCCGGCGAGGGGAGUGAAAAAGAACCUGAAACCGUGUACGUACAAGCAGUGGGAGCCUCUUUUAUGGGGUGACUGCGUACCUUUUGUAUAAUGGGUCAGCGACUUAUAUUCUGUAGCAAGGUUAACCGAAUAGGGGAGCCGAAGGGAAACCGAGUCUUAACUGGGCGUUAAGUUGCAGGGUAUAGACCCGAAACCCGGUGAUCUAGCCAUGGGCAGGUUGAAGGUUGGGUAACACUAACUGGAGGACCGAACCGACUAAUGUUGAAAAAUUAGCGGAUGACUUGUGGCUGGGGGUGAAAGGCCAAUCAAACCGGGAGAUAGCUGGUUCUCCCCGAAAGCUAUUUAGGUAGCGCCUCGUGAAUUCAUCUCCGGGGGUAGAGCACUGUUUCGGCAAGGGGGUCAUCCCGACUUACCAACCCGAUGCAAACUGCGAAUACCGGAGAAUGUUAUCACGGGAGACACACGGCGGGUGCUAACGUCCGUCGUGAAGAGGGAAACAACCCAGACCGCCAGCUAAGGUCCCAAAGUCAUGGUUAAGUGGGAAACGAUGUGGGAAGGCCCAGACAGCCAGGAUGUUGGCUUAGAAGCAGCCAUCAUUUAAAGAAAGCGUAAUAGCUCACUGGUCGAGUCGGCCUGCGCGGAAGAUGUAACGGGGCUAAACCAUGCACCGAAGCUGCGGCAGCGACGCUUAUGCGUUGUUGGGUAGGGGAGCGUUCUGUAAGCCUGCGAAGGUGUGCUGUGAGGCAUGCUGGAGGUAUCAGAAGUGCGAAUGCUGACAUAAGUAACGAUAAAGCGGGUGAAAAGCCCGCUCGCCGGAAGACCAAGGGUUCCUGUCCAACGUUAAUCGGGGCAGGGUGAGUCGACCCCUAAGGCGAGGCCGAAAGGCGUAGUCGAUGGGAAACAGGUUAAUAUUCCUGUACUUGGUGUUACUGCGAAGGGGGGACGGAGAAGGCUAUGUUGGCCGGGCGACGGUUGUCCCGGUUUAAGCGUGUAGGCUGGUUUUCCAGGCAAAUCCGGAAAAUCAAGGCUGAGGCGUGAUGACGAGGCACUACGGUGCUGAAGCAACAAAUGCCCUGCUUCCAGGAAAAGCCUCUAAGCAUCAGGUAACAUCAAAUCGUACCCCAAACCGACACAGGUGGUCAGGUAGAGAAUACCAAGGCGCUUGAGAGAACUCGGGUGAAGGAACUAGGCAAAAUGGUGCCGUAACUUCGGGAGAAGGCACGCUGAUAUGUAGGUGAAGCGACUUGCUCGUGGAGCUGAAAUCAGUCGAAGAUACCAGCUGGCUGCAACUGUUUAUUAAAAACACAGCACUGUGCAAACACGAAAGUGGACGUAUACGGUGUGACGCCUGCCCGGUGCCGGAAGGUUAAUUGAUGGGGUUAGCGGUAACGCGAAGCUCUUGAUCGAAGCCCCGGUAAACGGCGGCCGUAACUAUAACGGUCCUAAGGUAGCGAAAUUCCUUGUCGGGUAAGUUCCGACCUGCACGAAUGGCGUAAUGAUGGCCAGGCUGUCUCCACCCGAGACUCAGUGAAAUUGAACUCGCUGUGAAGAUGCAGUGUACCCGCGGCAAGACGGAAAGACCCCGUGAACCUUUACUAUAGCUUGACACUGAACAUUGAGCCUUGAUGUGUAGGAUAGGUGGGAGGCUUUGAAGUGUGG
RNAcentral lists this ribosomal RNA (2039 nucleotides) under Escherichia coli. RNAcentral describes it as "partial 23S ribosomal RNA". It matches the Rfam family "Bacterial large subunit ribosomal RNA", at positions 104 to 2167 of the family's 2925-position model. The record is from RNAcentral. Lineage: Bacteria; Pseudomonadati; Pseudomonadota; Gammaproteobacteria; Enterobacterales; Enterobacteriaceae.